Molecule: long non-coding RNA, 596 nt
Filed under: Equus caballus (horse)
Lineage: Eukaryota; Metazoa; Chordata; Mammalia; Perissodactyla; Equidae
Description: lncRNA (ENSECAG00000052563.1)
Source: RNAcentral
AAGAAAUGUUCCUCUAAUAUUCUAGGUUCUUCUUACUGGUCCAAGAAUUACAUUGGCAUGAGACAGAAUAACAGAAGAAAACCAAACAAUUUUAAUAGCAUGUACAUGUGGGAGAAACCCAGGAAAACUGAGAAGAUUAGCCCUGAGCUAACUGCUGCCAAUCUCCCUCUUUUUGCUGAGGAAGACUGGCCCUGAGCUAAUAUCCAUGCCCAUCUUCCUCUACUUUAUAUGUGGGACGCCUGACACAGCAUGGCUUGACAAGUGGUGCUAUGUCUGCAUCCAGCUUCAAACCGGCGAACCUCAGGCCUCCGAAGCGGAACGUGCGAACUUAACCACUGCACCACUGGGCCGGCCCCCAAAAUGGCUAAUCUUUUAUUUAAACUGUUGCAUCUAUACACUUGGUUCAAAUUGUAGUUUAGUCCAUAUUUCACAUUUCUUUGAAUUUUCUAAUAAUCAAACCCAACAAAAGGCUGCAAGAAAUUUAUUUUUAAAAUAUAUUCAUAGAAAUGACACAACAUGGGAGCAAUGUUACUUGAAACUUUCAGAGAACUUGCCCUUCAAAUAGAUCAGACUUCCUGCAAUUGGGGGAAUAAAAA